CGACCGGUGGUAGAACUUGACUGUUUGGAUGAUGAUGAAGCUUGGACUCUGUUUGAAAAGAAAGCAGGUCUAGAUGACUUUUCUGAUGAUUCUAUUAAAACCCCAGCAAAGAAAAUUGUCAAAAAAUGUGGGGGUUUGCCUAUAGCUAUAGUUCCGCUGGCAAGUGCCUUGAAAGGCAAAACAAAUUGUCAUGAGUGGCAAGCUGCAUACCGGAGACUCGAAGGUCGUAGAUUGACUGAAAUAGAGGAUGUUGAUGAAAGAAAUGCCUAUGUAAUUCUUGAGACGAGCUUCGAUUACUUGAAGGAUAUGAUGACCAAGACAUGUUUCUUGUUGUGCUCUUUAUUUCCCGAAGAUCAUGAGAUUUAUGUGGACGACUUGGUAGGAUAUGCAUGGGGACUGGAGUUGUAUAAAGGCAUGGACUCAAUUAAAGAUGUUAGAAGCGAAGUGCUUGCAUCGAUUGAGAUCCUCAAGAACUCUGGUUUGUUGCUAGAUUCCGGAGAAAUGCAUGUCAAAAUGCAUGAUGUGGUUCGCCAAUUUGCUUUGUGGAUAGCAUCUUCAAGAAAGGAGAUUUCUUUUGGGACUGUUGAAACACUCCCGAUGGAUGAAAGUUUCAAGCAUUACACAGCAAUCUCCUUCGAAACUGAUCAAACAGAUGAACUUCCUAAAGGAGUCGGUUUUCCAUACCUCAAACUUCUUUUACAUGGUGGCAAUCGUUUCGUGGAAACUUCAAGCGAAUUCUUUGAGGGUAUGAAGGCAUUACAAGUUUGUGCUUUGAAAUAUCAAUUGAUAUCUCUAGCUGCAUUUAAGUUUAAUAUGAACCUUCGAACUUUGUGUUUGAUUAAUUGUGAACUCUCUGACAUCUCGAUGCUUGGCAAGCUGAAGACACUUCAUAUUCUCUCUUUAAGUCAAUCUGAUAUCACUGAAUUGCCGACUGAAGCUGGUGAUUUGGAAAAUCUAAGACUGUUGGAUUUAUCGUAUUGCGAUGAUCUACGAAGAAUUGCUCCUAAUUUAAUACAAAGAUUGUCCAAUUUAGAAGAACUAUACUUGCAUGGUUGUAGUUCAUUAAAAUGGGCGACUGAGAAUUCAACUAAAAAGGAAAGCUAUUCUAGCCUAUCGGAGUUGAAUUCAUUGCCAAAGUUGGUUGUAAUAUCAUUGGAUAUUUCUUCUAAACAUCUUCCAGAUGGCUUUGUGUUUCGUAGAUUAUGGAGCUUUGAUUUUUGCAUUGGCAUAAAAAGACCCAAGUGGUACCAAAAGAGCGAAACUUGUCCAAUCUCAAGAUCUUUGAGAAUCAAGAAAUCUGUAGAUGCAUGCAAGCAACUACUUGAAAAUGUAGAAUCUCUUCAAUUGAAUGAUGUGGAGGGUCACCCAAACCUUAUUCCGAGCUUGGACUUGGGAUUUAGUAAGUUGACUUCUCUAGAUCUUCGUCUGUGCCACUUUAUGCAGUGCCUAAUUGAUUCACCAAAGCAGCAAGUGCCAAUCACGACACUCUCUAAUUUGAGGAAGUUAUCAUUAAGUUGUAUGUUUGAUUUGGAAGAGAUGUGCAAUGCUCCCCAGCCGCAAGGUUUUUUACAAAAGCUUGAAGAGGUUAUAGUUUCAGAUUGUGAUAAGAUGCAAGUCUUAUUCCCUAAUGUUGAAUUGAAGAGCAUAGAACUAGAAGGGCCCAGUAGUCAUUUAUGCCUCCAAAGUCUGAAGAUUGUUAAAAUAAAGAGAUGCAAUAAUUUGAAAUAUAUCUUCCCAAUGUCAGUUGCUAAUAGCCUUGAACAAUUGCAUACUUUGAAGAUAAAGAGUUACUCGCAAUUGGAAGAUAUAAUCCAAGACCGACAAGCUGCAUACAAAUGUCUACUCCAAAGUCUAAGGGAAGUAUGUGUAUCUCAUUGCAAUAACUUGACAUCUCUUUUCCUUAUUGCCUUAUGGUCAAAGAUUGGGAAAUUUGAUUAUGCUUUUCAUUUCAGGUUUCGUUGAUUGAUUUACCUCAAUUGAAAGGAAGGGAUGUGAAUGACAUUAUGCUCACACAAUUGUCUUUGCAGAAGUUAAAAGUGCACAAUUGUCCUCAAUUGACACAUUUUAUUAUUUCGACUACUAUACGAGUUUAUAUUAUAUUAUAUAUUUAUUUAUUAAUUCGUUUCUUUUUUUCUUUAAUAAUUUGUUGUUUGAAUAGUUGUUUAAAAGAUAGAAUUUAUUUUAUAAUUUUGGUCUAAAACUAAUCUAAGUAACCUUUUAAAACAAAUUAGUUGAUUAUAAUACUAAAUUAUACAAACUAUAUGUUUUAGAUAUGUUGCAAACUAUUUAUCUAAUACUAAAUUAUAUUAUACCUAUUAAGUGGGUAAACAAAAAUAAGUUACAUAAAAUUAUAUAUAAGUUUUAGUUCGGUUGGUAUCGAUAUUGUUGUAUGAAUAGAGGAUGUGGGUUUGAGCGCACUUAAGAACGUUUGUCUUUCUAUUUAAACGUGGGAAGGAAUUAUGGAUGAUUUUAGAAUUUGUAUAAAAAAAUAAACUAAAAAAUAUAUAUAUUUAAAUUUUUUUUAAAAUGUAGUCUUUAACACAGGUGAUUUUUUUGUUUUUGUAUUAAUAUAUGAAAACGAGUUUAAGUAAUUUCCAAUUGCGUUGUUACACCUAUCUAAUAAUUUAUAUAUGUAAAGAUUAUGUGAUAUUAUUUAUGACUGUUUUUGCACCUCAUUUUUUGAGUAUAAUAUUGAUUUAAGUUAAAAUAAAUUUUUUGUAAGGAAAUUAAUUGAUGAAAUGAUAAGUUAGUUGUUGACAUCUUUGAAUAUUUUGAAAUUGAAAAUUGAUGAUAUGUUUAUAGGAAUUGGUGUUUGGGAAGAUGACAAAUCAACAAUUGAGCAAUUUGCAUUCAUGUAAAUAUGAGGAGCUAGAGCAAGAUCAAACGUCAUCACCACAUCAUCCCCUACCUAUUUGCUUUCCAAAUCUGAUUCGAAUUGAUAUCUUAGAAUGUGAAAGCUUGAAAUCUCUCUUUCCAAUUAUUGUUGCUCAAGGUAGGUCUAAAAAACUAAAUGCUCCCAAUUUGCAAACCUUGAAGAUAAAGAGGUGCUUUGGAAUGGAAGAAAUAAUCCAAGACUCACAAGUAUCAACCAUAAGCUUCCAAUGCCUAAGGGAAAUACAAGUCACAGAAUGCAAUAAUUUGAAAUUUCUCUUCCCAAUGUGUGUUGCUGGUAAUCUUGGGCAAUUGCAAACUCUGAAGAUAGAGAGCUGUUCGCAAUUGCAAGAAACAAUCCAAGGACCAGAAGUGCUAAUUUCAAUGGCUCAAGGUCUUGCACAAUUGAAUGAAGUUGAGUUAAUUGAUUUGCCUCAAUUGAAAGGAAAUGAUACAAAUGACAUCGUGCUGACAUCGCCAUCUUUGCACGUGUUACAUGUGAGAAAUUGUCCUCAAUUGACACCUUUUAUCGUGUCCCCCAAUAUACAAGUAAGACCUUAUAUAUUAUUUAUUAAAAUUUUCACCUUUUGAUUUUUUUUGUAUAAAAUAAAUAAAUGCUUGUAUAACUCUUUAAAAAAUAGUUUUCAUUUUAGAAUUUUGGUCUAAAAACUAAUCUAAAUAAACCUUUAAGUAGUUUAGUUAAUUACAAUACCAAUUAGUAGUAAAUACUUUUAUCAUCUAUAUGAGAAAUAUAUAUAUUAUUUAUGUUUCUUUUAUUUAUAUAUAUAUAUAUUUUGCAAACACUAUCUAGUACUACGUAAUAUUAUUUAUGUUGUGUUUUUAUAAGUAUUGGUGUUGUCGGAGAUGACAGAAAAGCAAUUAUUUGAAUAUUCUAGAUAUAAUGUUUCAAGUCUGAAGUACCUUAGUUUGUACAAACUAACUGAAUUGCGGGUGAUAUGGAGUGCUCCCAUCCAAGUUGAAUACUUUGCAAAUCUCACUGAAUUGGUAGUCCACAGUUGCAGAAGGUUAAUAUACAUCUUCUCACCUACCAUCGCUCGAAAUUUCCCACAAAUGCGCAGGUUGAAUAUAUAUGUGUGUGAGGAAUUGGAGCAAAUAAUUGAGAAGGAACAAACUCCAUCACAACAUCAGCUCCAACCUAUUUGCUUCCCUAAUUUGAGUUCGAUUACAAUCAUUAGCUGUGUAAACUUGAGAUGUCUCUUCCCGAUUACUCUUGCUCAUGGCGGCCUUCCAAAACUAUAUCGAUUAGAACUUGAAGAUAUCCCCCUAUUAGAGCAGGUGUUUGAAGAAGAUGAGUCAAAUGUGAGUAAGGACGAAGAGGAAGUGAUACACCUACCUCGAUUAACCCACUUAAAGCUUGAUUGGCUACCAUACCUCAUGAGCUUCAGCCCUCUGGGUUCUCAUUUUAUUUUCCCAUCUUUGACGGAUUUACGAGUAAAAGAUUGUCCCAACAUAUACACAAGAUUUAGUGUGGAUUCAAAGGAUUCAGUGCAUGCCAAAACACAGGUACACUACUCUUCCAAACUCAAUAAUAAGCUUUAAAACAAAAGUUUAUCCACUGAAUUAUUUUCUCUAUGUAUUCUUCCAAACUCUUUAUUUACUAAUCUUUAAUUUCUAUGCAUUAAUGCAAUAUUUUUAUUUUGGCUGUCUGAGAGAAAUUCUUUUUUUUUUAAUGCUUUAAAUGACUAAAUGAAAUUGCAUCGACUGUAAAUGGUUUCUGUUGGCUGUCAAUAUUUGUUUCUAGAUAUCAUUGUUGCAUUAUUAAUUUCAAUUCACAGUUCUUGUUCUUAAAAUGUCAUCCUUUGUCCAAUUUUGGAAAACUGGCUUUGCUUUCUUCAUCAUCAAUCAUCAAAAGCAAACAGUAAUAAGUGAAGGUUUAAUUUGCUUUGCAGGUAAGCCAAUCAGUUGAUGAAAUUAUAGUGGAAGAAUCUGCUACGGCUCCAGAAAUUGCAUGGCCAAUUGGUAGUGAUAUCUAUUGGUGGAACGGGGAAGGUGGGGAAGAUGAAAGUGAUUUUGAAUAUUAAAAAGAAUGGAGCAAUAAAUGAAGUAAUUUCUAUUUGAAAAUUAAGCAUUGUGAAUGUUGAAAUUGAAUGCCAUGUAUUCGUUAUUAUGUACCACUUAUUUUUUCAACUAAUUCUAACAUUACAUAAGGUAAUUUAAAAACAUCAAUAAUGUUGGUAGAAACCUUAUUUUUUUGAAAAGGCGUUGACUUUUAUUUAAAAACGAAAAUGGGAGUCACCACUGAUUUUUUAAGGUGUGAUCAGAUCACCUAGUAAUUUAGUCGUUUUAAUGAAAUAUUUUAAUUUAUUAAAACAGCGAUUUUGGUCUACGAAAUUUGAGAAAAUGGGUUCGGGAGUCAGUUACGUGCGAGGAAGGAUUAAUACCCUUGUCACGCCCAAAAUUGGUACUUAAUUGAUUAAUUAAUGUCUCAAUGUUGAAUGUUAAAAAUUUAGAAAAGAUUUUAAAACACGAUUCUUUUUUAUUAAUGUUCAUUUUAAAAAUGAUUGAACAAAUGAAACGAAAUGCUAAAGACUCUCUCGUCUCGAGGUAAUAAAAUAUCACAUCCCGUAAGUUAAGACACGACAUUUUGAACCCUUGAGAAUAAUCUUGCCUUUAAAUUUUAUUGAAAUUUCAUCUAUUUUGAAAUUUAAAAGGAUAUUUGGCUAUUUAGGUUUAACAAGAAAAUCGAAACCCCAUAAGUUAGGGUACGAUUUCUUGAAUUUCCAAAACGCGAAAUAUUACUUUAUUUUAAAAUUUUUUGUUUUUGAAUAAUAACGAGUACUACAUUUACGAUGUGUGUUUAUUUUGUUCAAAGUAAAACCAAAAUGAUCCAUAUUGGAUAAAUAUAUUGGAGCCUAAUGCACGACGUGAUUUAAACGAGAUAAAAGAAAAAGGCAACAUAGAGCAUGGAAUAAUGAUACACGAAUUAGAUGUUAUGUUAAUGAAUGUCGACAAUAUGAAAAUAUUAAUAAAUAAUUCCUAGAAUAUAUAAUAGUAAUAUUGACAUAAUACAUCAUUUUAAUACCAAAAUUAACAAUUGAAGUAAACAAAACAAAAUAACAUAUAAAACAAUUUGAAGUAAAUAGUAUAAAACAAUUUAAAAUGAAUAAUAUGUAAAACAAAUAUUAAAAUAAAUAAUAUAUAAAGCAAUUCAAAAUAAAUAAUUUACAAGACACUUUAAAAGAACAUAUAAAAGAGUUUAAGAUAGAUAAUAUGUAAAACGAAAUUUAAAAUUAAUAUACAACGCAGUUUUUUUAAAAUAAAAAUAAAAAUAAAAAUAAAAAUAAAAGAUAUAUAUAUAAUAGUUCAAAACAAAUAAUAUAUAUAAUAAUUUAAAAUAAAUAAAUAAUAAAAGUGUUUAAAAUAAGUAAUACAGGGAAAACUUAAAAUAUAUAAUAAUAAAACAGUUUAAAAUGAUAAUAUAAGAAAAGACUUAAAAUAAAUAAUAAUAAUAAAAAAAAAUUCUUUUGAAAAAAGAAAAAAAUUAAAUUAAAUAGACCAAGGACGAGAUUGAAAUCGAACUGAAAUUCAGGGUAUAAAUUGUAAAUAAAAAAAGGCUAACAAGAAGCAAAAUAAGACAGGCUGAAACAAACGGGGACCAAAUGAAAACAUAGCCCAAUCUUUGGACACGCAUCCUGUCUCCAAGAGCUCAGCGUGCCCAGGAUUAAAUUGAACCACGCGAGAAAUGUAUGCCCAAAUUUAUAAAAUAAAGAAAAAGGUAAAUAAAAGGGCAAGAUUACAGUGCACUGCAAAAGCGGAGAGACUCCGCGUGCAAAUAGACCAUAAGUCAAAAAGGCGCGGACCUUCUCCUGGUAUGGGUUGGGUCGUGCGGGUUAGAAGCCUAAAACAACGUCGUUUUGACCUCUAAACUUAAUGAUCAAAACAACGUCAUUCUAUGACUUUAUUUAAACCCAAUUUUUUUUUAAAAAAAAUUUAGUGGUUCUUAAAAAAAACUUCAAAGAAACCCUAUUCUCUCAACCCCCCUUUUGGCCGGCAUGGGUUCCAUCGUUGAUACACCCUACCGCCGCCGUGGCCGGUGGCCAACGAUGCGGAAAACGGGCUUUUUAGCCUCGCUUUGAGGCGCCUUUGAAGGCCAAGACACCAAAAUCCAAAGAGUCGAAAGGAGAUCACUCUCUGGCCCUUUUGAGUUUGACUUCGGAAACGGAGAAUGGCCUCCUGACGUUGCAACCGCGGGAAAAUCAGGUGAGCCACAAUCUUUCCGUUUUUAUAUUUUCAUAUAUGUAUAUAUAUAUAAAUAAAAUAAGAUAAAAUAAAAUAAACUUAAUAUUAAAAUCAAAGAAAUAUUAAAUGAAAAUCACCUUUCUUCAAUAGAUUUCUAUUCUUUUUGUUCGAAAGUUCUUUUAUAUUUUCUUUUGUUUUUGUGCGUGUGUAAAAAAAAGUACAAAGGAAUCAUCUUGGCUUUUAUAGCCGACGCUAAGAUCCAUUUUUGUUUGUUUUUGUUUUGUUUCUGCUGCCAUUUUGUCUUUUUCCUUGUUGUUUCUCGUACUACUUGCGUGUUGGUUUUGUUUUGUAGGUGUCAGAAGCGUGGUGAUGGCUUGCGGUUAUGAUGGCACGCUGAGGAGGAGCGGCAGUUGAAGCUCUUAGGGGGCUAGGGUUUUUCUUCUUCUUGUUUUGGCUGAAAGUGUUUAGUUUUGUGGGCUAGGGUUUAGUUGGGGUUAAUUUGGGUUUAUGGUUUAGGCUUGUAAAAUUGGGUUUGUUGGGCUUUGGGUUUUGAAUUUUGUAAAAGAGACUGGACUGUUAAAAUUUUUGGACUUUUAUUAUUAUUAUUGUGUUUGGGUUUUCUGACGGGAUGGGCAAAUUUGGGCCCAUACAAUGUUGAUAUGAAAAACAUUAUAGAACGUAAAUAUAAAGAUUUUUGUUUCUUUACAGGCCCUUCCAAAAGCUAACAAAGUCUUUACCGAUUUUCUCAGCGAAUAUGGAGUCUUCCCGGCAUUAGAAGAAGGCUUGGUUAAUGAUGAUUUCAAACUUUUGUCUAGCUUUCGUUUAGCUUUUGGAUUCUUCCAAGCUACCUUCAUGUUUAUCCAAUUUUUUUUCCAGUUGGUCAUGCCGAAACAACUCAAACAUAAAUACAUGUGAUGAUAUUUCAACCAUAUAAAAAAAUCCCGACACACGUGAGAAAGGACACGUGAUAUGUGUUCGAUGAAGUGGUAGAGCCAAGGGUGCUUAUUAAUGGAAAAAAAUUAUUUAGGCCCUUUAUAAUUUAUAAAAUUUUUAUAAUUUAUAAAAUUUUAAAUUAAUAAUUGUAAAAUUACACUUUAAUCCUAAAAAAGAUAAAAAUUUAAUUUAAUCCUUUAAAAAAGGAUAAAGAUAUAGACUAUUAAAAUGGUAAAAUUGUAUUCUUACUAUCCUAAAAAUAUACAAUUAAAUUUUGAACCCCAAAAUUAUUUUCUGGCUCCACCCCUAGUUAAAUCCAUAUGUGAAUUAAUAACACAUUAGCCCAAAUAAAUGUGAAUGAAUCCAUAUGUUUAAAAACGAUAAGGGUAAAUUACACUAUUAAUGCCUCAAUUAUGUGUCAUUUAGUUAAAAGAGUUACAAUUUGGAUACUAAUGUUUUCAAAAUUAUUUUUUUCACCCAACUAUUAAAUAGCUAACAAUCACACUUUUUUUAGUUAGUAUAAUGACAAUUUUAAUUCUUAGAUUUUAUACUUUCUUUCAAUUUAACCCUAAUUCUUUAUAAAAAUUAUUUUAAAAACUCAAUAUAUUAUUUUAAAAAAUAAAAAAUUCUAUAUAAAAAUUAUGGUUUCUGCAACAACAAAAUAUUCAGCAUUGCCAUAAAUCAUGAAAAUGGAUUAAAAAAGAGAGAUCAAUUUCAAUCUCUUAAUAUAAUAUUCAUUUUGUGCAAAGUUUGAAUGUGAUUAAAAACUAAUGUUCAUUCAAGAAAAACUUAAUAUUAUACUACAGUAAAGCUCAAGAUUGUUCAAUAUUGAGACAUAAGAAAGAAAAAGAUUAUUCAAUAGAAUCCAAUUACAAAUUUAAAACAAAAUAGGACCAAAUUAGUAAUACCUUCAAGUCAAGUUCCACUCUAUUGAAGAACUUCUUUCAAACUAAUCUCACUAAGACUUGUGAAAUUGACUUUGAUGCCAUUCUUUUAGUAAAAAAUACAAAAUAUACCAUAAAAUAUUCUUUUGUUGAUCUAAAACAGUUGCUAAGUAAUAAGCAAAGUAUAAGCAGAAGUGACUACAAAAGUGUGUACUUCUGCAAGCACUGCGAUAAGCAAAAAUAAAAUAGGAAACAUCAAAGUUUGUUUACGCAGCUCAAUUUCCAUGCAUUUGUGAAGGCUUGCUCAGUGAGAAGAAUCACUAUAUUUAAACAAUUACAACUAGUGAACCUAAAUGUAUCACACUCCAAUGAUGAUUCCUCACUCUUGUACCUUCGAAGACUAGAUCACUCACUACUAAAUUCUCCCUCAGAGAACUUAGUUUGCAAAACCACAAUACAGAAUUUUACAAUCACAAAUGCACUCUUGCAAAAUAAUGUUCCUCACUUGAACAUAUAAAUGCUCUUAAUUAAGAAUUUGUGCAUCAACCUAUACAAGUCUCUUAAUUACAUAGAGAUUUCGAGACUUGUUAACAUAAUGAAAAUCUAUCAAUCCUUACUAAACAACAACUAAAAUAGCUAAAUACAAUAUAAUAUUAACAACCACAAUAAACAUUGACAGUUGGCAGCUAACUCUUCACUUUUUUGAUCUGAUCCAACUUCCUUUAUCCAUAGGACUUGAUAUAAGCGAUCCAAUCCAACCCGACCCAAUCUUCUAAAUAAAUUUCUCCAAGUGAUAUGAUAUUUAUUGAUGAGCUUGAUUCAUCCCACAAUAUCAACUUAGCCCAAAGAUACGGAUCAAUAAAUUGCCAAUCUUCCAAAUAUAGCAAGUUGUUUUGUCAUAGUAGUUGGGGUAGUGGGCAAUUCCCAUAAUACAUUUCAACAACUUCAAAUAUUUCAACAUUUUUCAAAAUCCAAACCGAAAAAACAAAUCUUUUUUCUCAUUCUUUUUAGAUGAUGAAAAAUAAUUUCCUUAAUUUUCUCUCACUUAUCUAUUUUUUAAAAUUUUUUAUCUAUUUUUAUUAAUUUUCAAAUUUAUGUAUUUUUAAGAUUUUCUAAUUUAAAAAAAAAAACUCAAUUUUUUUAUUGAAUCAAGGGCAAAUUAAUAGUCUAGACACGUUUGGUAGGCUUGAUGUAAAAGAGGAGUGUUAUGUUAAAUAACACUCAACUCUAAAAAUGAUGGAUAAAAGAUCAAUGCUACUACAUCAAAUUGUUUGGUUAUUGAAAAUUGUGAUAUAUAUAUUACUUUUCUUACCAUGUGUUUUUCGAUACAAUAUUAAGGGUAGGAGAUGGGGGUAAGACGGUUCUCACUUGUGCCCAACAGGUGUUCGAUACAAUAUAUUAAUCUUCUUACCAUGUGUUUUCUAUAAGUUAAAACAUAAGUGUUGUUUAUUAAUUCAUCAUCUUACCCUUAGCAUCUUUUUUUAUAUAGUCUAAAAUAAAAUAUAAAAUAUAUUAUUUACAAAAUAUUUACAUUAAAAUAUAAUAAAAUAACAAAAUAAAAAAUAUUAUAACAAUUAAUUUUAUAAAAUAUUAAAACAAUAAAAUAAAAUUAUUAUUGUUUAAAAAUAAUAUAUUAUUAUUACUUUUUAAAAAAAUAAUAAAAAUAUUUGUAUAUUAAUUUAUAUAAAUAAAAAUAUUAAAAUAUAUGUUUUUAUAUUAAUAUUAAUAUAUUAAUGUAAAUAUUAAAAUGAAUAAUUUUAAUAUUAGUUUAAUAAACCCGAACAUGAACAUAAAACAGACAUAGAGAAUAACAAAAAAUAAAAUAAAAUAUUUAUAUAAUUUUAUAUUAAAUAUAUAAAAUAAUAAGACAUACUUUUUAAAAAAUAACUAGAUUUUCUAAAAGGAAAAAUAACUAGUUUUAACCUCUGCUUUCGUGGGGGUUUCUAAUUUUCUUUAUAAAAUUUUAGUUAGUUAAUGUAAAAAUUAAUUGUAAAUUAAAUUUUAUUAAUUAUAAAAAUUAAAAUUUUCUCAGAUCAAGUAUAAAUAUAAGUUAAUGCCUGACUUAACUUGUAGAUCAAUCACUUUAACUUGUAGAUCAAUCACUUUAAAUAAAUUAUUUAAAUAUAAAAAAACUCCUUACAUGUUUUUUUAUAUAUAUUGAAUAUUCACUUGUUGAAUAUCAAUUCCUUGAACAGAUGUAACUAAUAUUAGGUUGUUGCCCGACGUUUGUUUGUUUGUUUGAAACAAGGAUCAGUGGCUGGCAGUAGAGCUGAUAGAAUCAUUGCAAAAUUAUGUCUCCUUAACUCUCGAAGCUAAUAGUUUUCUUUGUUCUGCAAUAUACGUUAGUCCGCAUCCAAUAUGUUGAGAUGUAAGUUGUGGAGUUUUUUUUUGGAGAACUUGGCAAAGUCGGUUGUCGAACCUUGGGUUUUAGCUUGCGACUUUUAUGCGAUCUUGGAUGGCUCAGAAAGGAUCAAGGGUAGUCCAUCUUCGUGAGCGGGUUGCAAACAGUUUCAGUCGUUCAUUUUUUAAAGUGGGCUGCGCAAUUUGGGAUUUAGUGCCCACAAUUUACUUGGAGUAGAGGAAAUUUAUCACAGCGUUUGGAUAGGGCUAUUUGUAAUUUGGCUUGGGAUUCGUUUCUGCCUAGUUCUUUGAUGCGUAAAUCUUCACUAUUUGAAGUCGGGUCAUCGUUCGAUUCUGCUUUCGCUUUGUCCUACGCAAAACAAAGGUAAUAGGCCAUUAAGAUGUAUAGCAAGUUCGAUGUUACAUGCUGAAUUCAAGUCUCUUGCCAAGAUUGUUGGAAAAAUGAGUAGGUGGGGUUGAACUUAGAGCGAUUCCAGGAGGUGGUUUAGGUAUGGAUGAUAACAUCUUUGUGCAGAAUAGGAAGCUAGUGUCAGAACUAGAGUGGGUGCAAAGAGUAUUGGAUUUGGGACCUUCAUUGAGAAUCCGAGCUUGUGAAUUAGAAUUGCGCCAUGUAACCUCCCCAACUCAGCUUAGACGUUAGACCCGAAUUUGAAAGAUUAUAUUGGCCACUGAGAUGGCCUAAACAGAGUUAUUGGAGUUUUAAAAUGGUCAAUUUUAAAACUCUUGUUUAUUUUAGAAGAAAAAUUAGUUUAUUUUCGGAAAGCCAUAUGAGUUAGUAAUAACUGAUUUUUUUAAUGUAUUUCAUGUAACGGUGUCCAUCUUAGUUAAUUUAUUAUCUUUCCAAAACUUAUUUUCAACUUUAACAGCGAAAAAGUUAUAUUAACGUAAUUUUAAUAAAAAUCAUGCUUCAUACAUAAUUAAAUAAAAAUUCAUAUUCUACUAGCUUAAAUGGUUUAUAUGUCAUGCAUGCCUAAGUAAAAAUCAUAAACUAAGUCUCGUGCCACAAUUCAAAAUAAAAUAUUACAGUCUUUAAAUAAUAAUAAAAUUUCAAAUAUAAACUUAAAAAUAUUUAUUAAAAUCAAGUUGGGCACCUCUGAAUGUCGAGUCUACGUCCUAACCUUGCAGGCUAUCUAAAAAGAUAGGAAUAAAAAGGGAGUGAGCUAUGAAGCUUAAUGUGAUUUCCAUCACAAGAAAAAUCGGUGCAAACCAUAGACAAAUCUACAGAAAAUUAAUUCAUUAAUUACAUGACAUUUACUUAGUCAGAUAGAAUAUCGAUAAUUCAGAAUACCAAUCAACAUAACAACUCAAUGUUUGUAGCCAUGUAAUUGCUUAUGAAUGCAAUGCAAGUUCGAUUUAAUAGUAAAAAGGUCUUACCUUACCAUUAUACACCAAAAUAGGAGUUCCCUAGAACUCCUCUACCUUCACACCACAUUGUGGAUAAACCAUUGAUCGUUGCAGAUAAUUGCUAACGAUAAGAUAUUAGUGGAUGAACCAUCCGUCGGUGCAGAAAAAAGCUGCUAGUACGUUGUAGAUGAACCACUAGUCGUGCAAGUGACUACCGACUAGGAUACAUUGUUGAUAAACCACUAGUCAAACAGAUAAAUUGUCGACUACUUCCUUGUUCAAAUCAUCUCACCCCAUACAAUGCAUCAAGACAUGUUAUACAAUUCAAUAUGGUAGCAAAUAGUUUGCUUUUAACAAAUCAAUUCAAUCACAAAAGUCAUGCUUACUAAGCAUUCGAUUUAAUAGUAGCAUAAGGUAUGCUUAAAACGGAUUGAAAACCGAUAUGGCAGCAAUAUUUAUGUUCUCAACUAAUCGAUACGGUGGCCAAACAUAUACUUUUCAAAAAGAAUCCAAUCUAACGAUAUCUUAAAACAUGUUAUACAAAUAUCAACAAAUAAAGAUUCAAUCAACACAAUUAUACACAAUUUAUGCAAGUACAAACUAAUAAAAAAAUAAUUCAGUCAAUUAGGGCAUGUAUUAUAGCAUUAUUUAUGUUAUUAGGGGCUUAAUUGAAUAAAUUAAACACUAAAAAUAAUUUGGGAACCAAUUAAGGACUAAAUUGUGCAGUUUGAAAAAAGUUUGGGUUAAAAUUGUAAGGAUAUAUUAUAGGGGACACACGGUCGUGUGGGUCACAUGGGCGUGUGGUCUGGGCUGGGUUCGAUUUUGCCCCAAUUUUCUAACAAAAGAACACACAUAUAACUUUUGAGGUCUCGUACGAUGAUCCUUAUGUCCAAAAUUGGUCUGGGAUACCUACAAUGGGUCUUUCAAUCGACGAAAAUGUAAUAAUUACUAUUGAUGUUUAAGAUUUAUUGAGUUUUAACAAGAUUUCAGGAAAACCCAUCAAAGAUUCAGAAUUGAUUUUAGAAAAAUUAUCAAGAACGAUAUUAUACUAGAUUUCUAGGGUUCUACAAAAUUAAAAAUAGGAAUUCUUACUGAUCUUGGCAUGUUAGAAACAGAUUUUGAUGGCUUUACACUAAAACAUUAUGAAGAACAGAUUGAACGAGGUUGAUUUUGUGUACAGGAUUUGAAUAUAACAUUUUCAACAAAAGAUGAUGAACAUUUUUAUGAAAAAGAGAAGAAGUAAUAAAAAAAAAGAUGUAUUUAAAAAGGAGGGAAAAAUAAAUUCUAAUUAGGUUUGAAAAGAUAGCCAAAAUCCUAAUAUAACUAGGAAAUGACUUAAAAGGCUAAGUUAUGCAAAUUUUAGGGGCUGUUUUGGCAAAUAAACCUUCAUGUUGAAAUUUAAAACAAAAGGAAGGGAAUUGGCAUGGAUAGAACUUAAGACUUUAAAGAGGAUGGGGUAAUGCUUAGCCAUUGGUCUAUUGCACAUUUCUUAAAUAUUUUCUACCACAUUUAUUUUUUAUACUAACUUAGUUUUCAUCCUUAAUUGCUGAAAAAUAAAAAGGAAAAAUGCAAAAGGUGGGUUAGUGAAACCUAAAGGGGUCAUAUUGUGAUUUUUGAGUUAAGAUUAGGAAAUUAUGCUAUGUAAUUUGUUCUAGUUAAGUGGUUAAGGGUUGUGCUUGAGUGAGAAAGGUUUUAGGUUUGAAUCCUUUCGCUUCUAUUUUUGUAAAUUUUGUCUAAAUCCCUAGUUUUUGGUAUUUGGUUUAAGAAAUAUUUGGGUGCAUCUAUUAAUAAGAAUGAGUCUAUUGGUUCAAUGGUAAGAUGUUAGCUUACCUUUUGGUCUUGUGUUCAAAUCCAUUCAUGCUUUUUUUCUCUCUUUUUUUUUUCUUUUGUUAAUUUGUGUAUCAUUCGUCCUUUGUGCUAUCAGUUUUAGUCAUUAAGGGUAAGGUUGCUUCAUUCUCCAUUUUUCCAGUCAUGUAUUGAAAUUAUUUCACUUGGCGUUUGAGGUUUCAGAGCUUUAGUAGUGUGGUAUUAAUAUGUGUUUUGUGUACUUAAUGAGUUUGAUGCAUUUUUAGAAGAAGAACGAGAGGUGUUGAGUGUUCCUUCGACAACUUAGAUAUUGUUGUUGUUUUCUUUAUGGUAGGUGCUUUAAUGUUAUGUUAGUGAGUCAAUCUUGAUUUAGUGUUGCAUUUUGUUACUAAUUAGAUACGUUUGGUAUAUUGCUUUUAGGUUCUGGUGUGUUUUUUCGUGAAUCUACAUCAAAAUCAGCAAUCAGGCGUGCGAUCUAACUCGAAAAACUCGUCGAAAAUUCAAAAAAUGCAAAACAAGAUCGACUGAAAUGCUUCAAUUCCACUAGUACUGAAAACUGAUACCUUUGUUGACGAAAGCGUAACCGAAAUCGAACAAGACGUAUUAAAACAGUAGAGAACGUAACACAAAAUUGGUGUCAAGAGAACUGAUUUUCAGAAGCAAUCGUUCAAUUUUGAAAAUUAGAAGAAAGAAAACAAGAUUGUCUAGUCAAAAGAAAGAAGAGAAAAGAAAACAAAAAUAGAAAAUGUGGGAUGGGGAAAAAAACAAAACGUGCAACAUUUGGGGGACUUUUUCUUUCCAACACAAAAUUAAAAUAAUAAAACUAAAAAUAAUAACUAUUUUAAUACUCAAAAACAAAAAUUACUUCCUUAAAGCACAUAUGAGGAUUCGAACCCAAAACCUAGAGGUAAAUCAACACAUAACCAACUACUGAACCAACAGGCUCAUUCUAACAUUAAAACGCGACUACAGACUCAACUACUCAGCCUACUCACUGACCCUACUACAAACCCCAAAACUUCUAACCCCAAAUUUCGGGAUGUUACAGUUAAACCGCAAUAUAUAUUUGGCAGCUCAGCUGCACUAUUAUGAGUGGCAUACCACCACGAUCUGGUGUGAUUUGGAUGAAUGGACUAUUGAAGUCCUAAUUGGUGUGAUUGGUUGGACGGAGUUGGUAUGUAGCAAAUAGAGGUAAGAUUUGUGUCUGCACUUGUUCUGAUUUGGUAUGACAUAUGUACUUAUGAAAACAUGACAUUCUGGUAUGAUAUAUUUGUAUAUUAAAUUAAGAUAUUCCAAACCAAAAUAUGUUCCAGUUAUAUGAUAUUAUGAUCUAAAAUAUAUAUAUGUUUCUGGUAAUACAACAUUCUGAUAUGUUAUUGAUACAUUAAAGUAAAAUUUUGUGAUCACAUUUAUGUAUGUGCUUGUUAAAUAAAAUUAUACUUGUGGGUUGAGGUACACACUAUGCUCCUAGCUCAUUUGUAUGUUUAAUAUGUUUCAGGUUAACUUCUAACUCAGGACCGUACGGCGUGCGGGAGCUCGAAUUGGUUACCAAAUAAAAUAUUUGUGGGUUUAUGAUUUAAUUAAUUUUGGACUGUAAUAUGUUUUUGGUCUUCGUUUUAUUCGUCGACAUUUAAUAUUUUUGAGCAUUAAACUGCAAAUCACACGAGCUAACAAGUUAGAUUUUGGUUUUCAAAACUAAAACAAACUUUGAAAAUAUUCCGCUGCAAGGUUAAGUAAUCAUUUAAAUACUUUUUGAAAAUAAAAUAUAUGGUUUGUAACGAAUAAUUUUUUUAAUACUGGAAAUGAUCACCUCAUGUUAGUACUUUCAAAACGUGUGAUUUUGAAUGUGAAUUAUGGGUUUUAAAUAAGUGUUUUCGAACACAGUUUUUCUAACCAUCUAUCGGUGUUUUGUCAAAAUUUUAUGUUUUCGAAGCAUGCAUUGAGUUUGAUUUGAACCGAAGCUUUGAACGAGUUGAUGUAAUCCUUUAGUAUCUAGUCAUAACUUCUAGGCCGGGUUUUGAGGUGUUACAACCCAAGCAUGUUGUUCUUUUUAGACUUCAGUUGAAUCCCUAUCAAGCCCACCAAAAUUUCUUCUUAACCAACUCAUAUCUAUCUAGGCUCCAAAGUCGUCUCUAGAACCCUUCUUAAAAGUUCCUCGCGUACGUCUCUCCAAUCGACUGCUUGAACUGACACAGUCACUUCCAGCCCAUCCACCGGUAACCUAAGCUAUAGUUGCAUGUCCUCCAAAGUGAUAGUACACACACUGCAUGGAAGGUGAAAUGUGUGCGUCUCUAGUCUCCACCUUUUCACCAACGCGUUUAAGAGUGUCGGGUCCAACUUACACCCCUUACCUACAAGCGCCACGUGCAAAAAUCGACGUCUCCAAAAUUUGAUAUUCUUCCUAUUGAGGUAAAAAAUAUACAAAAUAUUAAAUUCAAAUAUAAUAACAAAAUAGUAAAAUUAAACAACAUUGAAAUAUAAUAAAAAAUAUUCUUACCAUUUACAAUCGGUCGACGAAAAUGUGGUUGUCAUCAAAACGAAUUAGAGAUUUUGUUAUUGCUAAUUUCGAAAAACGCUAAAUAAUUUGUAAUAGAAAAAUAAUUUAUGAAAAUAUUAAGAUAAUUUUAAUAAAAAGUAAAGUUGAGAGAGAAAUAAUUUUUGAGUGGGAAUUGAAGAGGGAAUUUAGAAAAAUUUGAGAGAGAUUUAAGAAUGUGAGAGAGAGUUGAGAUAGAAUUGGAAGAAAACUGAAAUGAGGAGGGGUUAUAUAAGAAAUAAAAUGGGACCGUAAGGGGUGAGUGGGGGGUCCAAUGGCUAAUUAAAUAGUCGUUGGAGAAAGUAAUCAUUGGAGUUAUCGUUGGGAGAAAACGCUUCUAGCUAGAAGCUUUUUCAGUUGAUUUGGAAGAAAGCACUCUCAGUUGGAAGUGUUUUUCGGGCAACACAUUGAAAAUGCUUCGAACUAGAAGCGCUUUUCUGUAAAUUAGCUAAAAACACUUAUAGCUGGGAUUGUUUUUGUAAAAUUGACCUACUCCUAUAAUUUUUACAAAGACGACCUAUUCAAGUAAUUUUGCUUUUAGGCAUUUUUGGAUAAUUUAGUCCAAAUCCAUAAUUUUGACAUUGGAAUUUUUGAAAGUCUAUGGUAUGAGUUUGAAAUUUCAAAAACUCUAUUGUUAUUUAUAGUGAAUUUUGAGGAAAAGAACUUUCUAUAUAAUAAAAAAAAAAUUAACAAGUAUACUUAUGUUUGUCUCUAAAAUUUGCAAACAAAUAAAUAAUAGAAAAUACACCUUAAAUGUAUAAAAAUGAAUAAAGAAAAACCAUUUUCAUUUCUAAUAACAAAUGAAAAUUAAGAACAAGAAACUGAAGAAAAGUAGAUAUUUUAAAUGUAGUGAAAAUCAUCAUAUAAAUAAUUAAAACAAAUCAAUUAUUGAAACUUGAUGGAAAAUAUAUGACACAAAGACUUUCACUUUUUUCUAAGUCGUCCUCUAUCAUUUCAUGUCAUGUGGCUGUUAAUUCCCAAACAAAUGCAUGGGUCAUUGGCAAACCAAUUAGCACCAACUUGUUGCAAAGGAAGAUUCCCCUUUCCUUUUCAAUCCACUAAAAUACAAUUGAGAAAAAAAAUCCUCAUAAUUUAGAUCCAAUACUGCACUAAUCUCAUAACACAAAUCCUUUGGCUAAUAAACAAAGAAAACCCAGUUGUGUUAGAGUUUAUGCUUUCCAAGUGGUUGAAUCUUCCAGGCAGAUAAACUUUCAGAUUCCAUUUCUGUCUGAAAGUUUCUCCUUAUUUUAGUUCAACCUUGAUUUCUAUUUUGUUCCUUUUUCUUCUUCUUUUUUUUUUUAAUUUCCCUUUCUUCAAGUUCCUUUCUUUUUGUAUUAAGUUCUACUUACUUUUGCUCAAAAAAAAAGAAAAAAAAAAACCAACCUUCAAAUCCCUUUUGAUUAAUUUGAAGUAGUAAGAAUCUUCUCAAGACUAAGUGUAGUUUGAUUAAUUCUGAAGUUCCCAAUUGAGGUAAAUCUAUUUACAUUUGUGUUUAUAGGGUUUAGGGUUAAUUUCGAGGAAUGAAAAUUUGAACUCACUUUGUAUAAACUAUGAAAUUUUGAUCUUAUUUAUUGUUAAUUUCGAGGAAUGGAAAUUUUAACAUUUCUAAAAACAAAUGAAAAUUAAGAAAAAAUAUAUCAUACAAAUAAUUGAAACACCUCUUCAAAUAAAUUACCAAAUCCACUAAAGCAAUCACCAAAACUUCAAGAGCAUAGAUUUGUUCUUUUGUACCAUAUAAUCCUAAUAACUCUCAUUCUAAAUUGAUGGAUUAACUUUAAAUCAUUUUUAUUAUAUUUUUAAAUCAAUUAAGUUUUUCUUACUAAAAUUAUUAAUUUAAUGGUAAAUUUUUUUUCCAAUUUCUCUCAAAUUUGAAUUUGAGUAAAUUAGUCUCAUUAGAAAAAAUUGGAGUAACUUAAUCCCUUUACAAUUUUGAAUUUGAACAAAUUAGUCUAUCUCAAAAAAGAAAUUGGAGCAAUUUAAUCAUUAUCAAUUUUGAAAGUGAGUAACUAAGGACAAUUAAUCUCACUGUUAAUGUUUUUCAUCAAUUAUGCAUAAUUUUGAUUGGUAUAAUAACAAAUUUAGCCAUUGGUGUUUACAUAUUUUGUUAGUUUGGUCUUGAUUGUAAAAAGACCAACAAAUUCAGUCUCAACAUUUACACAUUUACAAAUAUAGGGGUUAAAUUUGUUAAAUCAUAAUUAAAUUGAUAGAAUGCUUUAGUUCCUCACUUUCUAAAUUGAUUCAAUUUUUAAGAGAGACCAAUUUGCUCGAUAUCAAAAUUGAUAGGGACUAGAGAGGUCAUCUUACCCAGUUUAAUCAUUAAAUGAUAUGUUACAUCUAAUAUGACAUAAUUUAAAAUGAAAAUUAAAAGAAUGAAUAUUGUAAAAGUAGAUGUUUUAAAAACCUUAGUUUUCAAGUUUUCGAAAUUUUUACAGAAGCAUUAUCAUUAAAUUUUUUUUAAAGUUUAGUUUUACUUAAAUUUUUUAAUGUUAAAAGUUAAAUAACAUUUAACUACAUAAGAUCUAAUGCGUGAUUUAAAGAUUGAAAUAACAAAAAUGACCUGAAUGAUAUAAUAUCGAUAAUUUAGAUCCCAACUUCAACAAUGCCUUGUUAAAAGUUAAGUAACAUGCCUUGUUGGUCUUUUUUGCAAACCAAUCAGUACCAACUUCAACAAUUUAGAUCUCAAUAUUGCAGUAAUUUCAGAACACGAAUCCUUCGGCUACAAGAAAACUCAGUUUUUAGUGGCGGAGCAUUGUAGAAAUUCAGGGGUCAUACUGAAAUAGUAAAAUUUUCCGAGCGGUUGAAUUUUCCAGGCAGAUAAACUUCAAUUUCUACUUGUUUAUUUUCCCCCUUUCUUCGAGUUCCUUUCUUUUUGUAUUCAGUUUUACUUACUUUUGCUAUAAAAAAAAAAACCAACCUUCAAAUCCCUUAUGAUUGUUUUGAAGUAAGAAUCUUCUGAGCACUAAGUGUAUUUUGAUUUUAAAAGUUCCCAAGUGAGGUAAAUCUAUUUAUAUAUGCUUCAUUUCUGUUUUUUAUAUAUAAAUUGUUCUCAUCUUUUUAUAUUUUUGUUGAAGCAAGUAAGAGCUAAAAGACUGUUUGGAUUUUGAAAUGGUAAGUGGAUAUGUUUAUUAUAUUUUCCAGCAUUAUACGUAUAAUAUUAUUAGUUUGAGGGUACAAAUAUUUUGAUUUAUUAUUUUUAUAAGUAAUUAACUGUCUUUUUUAGUUAUAAUUAUAUGACAUUACACUCCUAUAUGAUUUUAUUUGUUUAUUAAAUUUCUCAUUGUGUUUUUAUUUGUUGAAAAAACAGCACAUUUUGUGUUGUGCUUUCAGUUAGAAUGAGUUGAAAGAACAGCCCAUUGAUUCUCAUAGUUUGAGUUGUCUUUCACCUUCCUUGGUAUGUAUAAGAAGUAGUAUCUUAAUCUUCAAAAUACUUUUUGAUUCUUUAAUUUUUUUUAAUGGUAAUUACUUGUGAUUCACUGCGGUGUUUGAACUAGGAACAUCAUCAUAUUCUUCAAUUUGAGCUUGUCAAGCAUGGGUUGCGGAUUUUGUGGGGCUGCUCUUCCUAACAUCUUUGCAACACUGGUUGUGGACUGUGUGGUGAAGCCGCUAGUACGUUAAUUUGAUUAUGUCCGUCACUUUCAUGACAAUGUUGAAAAGCUCCGAGAGAAAAAGCAUGAACUUGCAGAUGCACGAGCUCGUCUACUACAUAAGAUUAAGGAUGCUAAAAGCCAGCUUCUACAAAUUGAAAAUGAUGUACAAAACUUGCAAUCAAGGGCAGACGAAACACUGUCGGAUAUGGGAACUCUGGAAGAGGAAAUCCAACUGAAUAAGAGGUGUCUCAAUUGGUGUCCUAAUUGUAGUUGGAGAUAUCAAUUAAGCAAGAAAGCAAUGAAGAAAAUCCAGGAUAUCUCUGAGCUUUUGAACAAAUUUGUCAACUUGGACCAGUCAGUUACCGUGCUCCUCUGCCCUUCCCACUGUAGGCUUCCUGUGUUCUAAGGAAUUUGUGGUUUCGAAAUCUUCGAAGGCUGCUUUCAAACAAAUCAUUGAAGCCUUAAAAUAUGAGAAUAUCGACAUGAUUGGGUUGUGGGGGAUGGGAGGGUGUUGAAGCUGAUCUCCAUGCAGCUGGUAUGAAGAAUGUGUAGCUAGAAGUUGGCCAUGCAAGCUCGUGACAAGCAUGCAGCAACUUUGGUUUCUUAUUGCUGUUGGAUUUGAACUAAUGUUUUGUUAUUUUGUAAUCUAGUUUGUAUCUUCAACUUAGUUGGUAAUUUUUUGAUGUAAUCCAUUGAUUGAUUGAUUAAUUGAAAUUUUAGCAAUACAACUUGGACGAUUAACUUAGCUAUUUUCAAUGUAAUAGAAUGGGGUUAGGUAUGUAAUUUGGUAGUCUUUUUGACUUGUACACUUCAUCUUUAGUUUUUCAUAUGUAAUGGAAAUAUGCUGAUGAUGUAUUAUGUAAUUACACAUCUUUUUCAUCAAGUUUUCUCAACUAAUUCCAUUGCUUCUUCUUCUGUUUUCUUUCUUCUUCUUUUCUUUUUGCUCGAAUUCUUCUUGCUUGGUUAGCAAGAAUCGUGACUUGCUGCUAAAGCUAUAGCUGGACCAGUUUCUUGCACGCUCAUUGACACCAACAAUUGGUAUCUAGAGCCUUUGUCUUAGAAGACCUGUGGUGUGUAAACCAUAACUCAAAUGGCUUCCUCAAGUUUUUCUCCUGCAGCUCCACUAGUCUUUAGUGGUGAAGGCUUCCAUAUUUGGCUGGUCAAGAUGAAAACAUACCUUCAGGCGUUUGAUCUGUGGGAAGUGGUGAACUCGGAUGCUGAGCCUACUCCAUUGAGGGCCAAUCCCACUGUGGCUCAGAUGAGGCAACAUGUAGAUGAGAGGACCAAGAGGCAAAAGGUCAUGUCCUGUAUUCAGAACUCUGUUUCUGAUGUGAUCUUCACCAGGAUCAUGACAUAUGAGACCCCGAAGCAGGCUUGGGACAAGCUGAAGGAGGAAUUCCAAGGCACUGAGAGGACUAGGCAGCAACAGCUUCUAAAUUUGAGAAGGGAUUUCGAGAAUUUGAAAAUGAAAGAAGAGGAAACUGUCAAGCAAUACUCUGAUAGGAUAAUGGCUAUUGUAAACAGUAUAAGGCUCCUUGGUGAGCAGUUUGAUGAAGUAAGGAUAGUUGAGAAGGUUCUCUCUACUUUACCAGAGAUAUAUGAAGCAAAAAUAUCCUCCUUAGAGGACUCGAAGGACUUGACAAGGAUCUCCCUGACUGAGCUUAUCAAUGCUCUCUAUGCUCAAGAGCAAAGAAGAGCCAGCAGGAUAGAGGAGCAUCAGGAGGGUGCAUUUCAGGCCAAAGUCAAGCCUAACUCGAGUAAUGCUGCCUAAAAAGGCAAGAAGAAUUGGAGGGAUAGGUCCAAAAUAGAUGCUCCAAGAAAAUGGGAUAGACCGUGCAGGCAUUGCAAGAAGCCUGGUCAUCCAGAGGCAAAAUGCUGGUUCAAGCCAGAUGCCAUAUGUCAACAUUGCAAGAAAAUAGGCCAUGUUAAAAAGGUGUGCAAAGAAAAAGACAGACCUGGUCAGAAUCAACCACAACAUAAGGCUGCUGAGGCUCGUGUAGCUGAACAAGGCAGUGAUAGUGAAGAACAAGUGUUUGCAGUCUCAUGCUUAGCUGAAAAAUGGAAGGUUACAAAAGGGUGGCUCCUUGACAGUGGCUGCACCAACCACAUGUCACCAGAUGCAUCAAUCUUCAAAUCUUUAGACAGAAGCUGUAAGACUAGAGUAAAAAUUGGAAAUGAACAAUGUAUUCAGGCAGAGGGCAAAGGUAAUGUGAUGAUAUGCACUCCAUCAGGUAACAAACUCAUAUCAGAUGUAUUGCUUGUACCUGAAAUCGAUAGAAAUUUGUUGAGCAUAGCUCAACUACUUGAGAGAGGAUAUACAGUGCUCUUUAAAGGAAAUAAGUGCCAGAUUAGUGACCAAAAAGGGUCCAUACUCAUGACAGUAGCCAUGACUGACAAGAUUUUUAUUGUGGACUGGAACAAUGGGCUAGAUAGCGUCUAUGCUGCUUCCAUAGAAGAAUCCAAGCUUUGGCAUCAAAGGCUUGGUUAUGCCAACUUUAAAUCAAUGGCCCGAAUGAUUAGCAAGGAUAUGGCUGAAAAUUUCAUCAAAUUAGUCCAAAAUGAAGAUGUUUGUGAAGUUUGUCAGUUGGGAAAGCAAGCCAGGCUUCCAUUUCCUACAAGAACAGCUUGGAGAGCCUCAGAGAAGCUUCAAUUAGUGCACACUAAUGUGUGUGGCCCCAUGAAGAUCGAGUCACUCAAUGGCAACAGGUACUUCAUUCUUUUCAUUGAUGAUAGUACCAGAUACUGCUGGAUUUACUUCUUAAAGAACAAGUCUGAAGUAGUUCAAGCCUUCCUGAAGUUCAAAACAGCAGCUGAGACAGAGACUGGCUGUACACUAAGGUCAAAAAGAUCAGACAAUGGGACUGAAUAUACUUCAGUUCAGUUCCAAGACAUUUCUGCAAGAGCUAGCAUCAAACAUCAACUAACAAAUGUGUACACACCUCAACAAAAUGGGGUAAGUGAAAGAAAAAAUAGAAGCCUGCUAGAUAUGGCCAGAUGCAUGAUAUUUGAGAAGAAUUUGCUCAAAAACUUAUGGGCUGAGGCAGUUAACACUGUUGUUUAUGUUCAAAAUAGACUUCCAACCAAAGCCUUAGAGCAAAAGACUCCAUUUGAGGCCUGGUUUGGAUUCAAGCCAUCACUGGCUCACUUAAGAAUCUGUGGUUGUUUAUGUUUUUCACAAAUACCAGCUGUUAAAAUAAGUAAGUUAGACAAAAAAGCACAAGCAGGCAUCUUGGUAGGUUAUAGCUCAGAGAAAAAGGGCUACAGGAUUUUGGAUCCUUCAACGAACAAGGUUUUUGCAAGUAGAGAUGUUGUGUUCAAUGAAAGAGCAAGCUGGAAUUGGGACAAGAAUGAACCUGAGGCUGUCUCUGAAGAUCUUGUGUUUGAUCAGAUUGAGCCAGAACAAAAUGAUCCAGAUAUGGAUUUUGAUGAUGUACCAAUCAGAGGUACCCGAUCUUUGGCUGAAAUCUAUGAGAGGGCACAUGUAGCCUUAGUAGAGCCAACAUGUUUUGAAGAGGCUGCAAUGCAUGAAGGCUGGAAACAGGCAAUGGCAGAUGAAAUUGCCAUGAUCGAAAAGAACCAAACUUGGGAGCUGGUUGAGAAGCCUGCUAACAGGAAAAUUAUUGGAGUGAGAUGGGUCUACAAGGCAAAGCAGAAUGCUGAUGGAAGUUUGAAUAAACUGAAGGCUAGUGUAACACCCCUAGCCCGAGUCCGAUCACCGGUUUAGGCUAUGAGGUAUUACCAAGCUAAACAUUUAAUUUCAGGCACAUAAUCUAUCAACAAAAGCAGAAAUCGAACUGAAUACAUACAGAUUUAUAAGUUAUAAAUGCCAAUUUCAUAUGGCCAAAAUAUUUACAAUACAAAACAUAACUAUCACCAGCCUAACCUAUACAUAUUUAUUUACAAUGAAUUCAAUUCACAUAACAUCUCAAAAUUUUGGUUCAUUUACUCAUUCGAAUGGUGAUAUGCCAUGCACCAACUAUAUAACUUUUUGCUAUAAGCUUGAAGCAUAAUUUAUUCGUCAUACAGCUAUAUUCAAAAGAAUCAAUUAAGUAUAGUACAGUUAUUAUUCACAUAUUAAGACAUUAUCAAGAUGUACUAAAUGUGACUAUCCGAACUUACCUCGGUAUAUUGGGACGGUUGUGGAUUGACUACUCUAUAGCUUUCUCUUUUCCCUUAUCCAACUUUGAUCCCCCUUGCUCUUGAGCUUAAUAAAUACAAAUAGAGGUGUUUAAUAUUUUGACCAAUUCUGUUUACUUAUUAUUCACAUUCGGUAAUCACAUAUCAAACUCGUUAUGUAUUAUAUUUUGUAAAUAUGCCAUAGUUCAAUUUCAUAUAUAUAUUCAUGACCAAAAAUGGCAAGAAUUUAUCAGGCCAUGAAAGUCACUUAUAACUCAAACUCAAAAUGACCAUAUGACAUUAAUAAACGAUUAUUCAACUUAUACCAAUUUCACAUUCACAAGCCAAACUCACAUAGCCUAUCUUUUUCUUUUUUUAUACACUAGUUUAACUACUACAAUAUUACCAAAUAAAUCACAUAUAUGCAGCACUAUACAAUUCACAUAUACAUCAACUAUCAAAAUUUUCACUCCUUAGCUAAUGCCGAAACAUUUGUUUAAAGAGGACCUAGCCGAACACCCUACUUAGUAAAAAGAAUCAUACAAAACACUAAUAGCCAACUCAAAUUCAUCUUUAAUAACUCUUCUUUAAUCAAGCACAUAUUCGGCAAGAACAUUGGUAAUUUAACAAAUUUUAAUUUAACACCUAAUUCUUUAUAACACAUUUUAAGCACCCCUUUUUACUCCAUCAAUUUUAAGCAUAUACAUUACUCAAACAUAACCAAAUUCACAUUCGGUCAUAGCACAUAACAAGAUAGCCGAUUAUUUUCCCUUAGCAUCUAAUGCUCCCAUAUGAUCAUUUGUAUAGUUCAAACACUCAUCUACCAUUAUUCAUCUAAAUUUACAUGAAACAACAACCAUAACCUUUAUUAACUACUAUGGCUGAAAGCUCUAAUCAUUCCCAAAAUAAAAAAUUCAACAUGGGUUACAAAAAGAACUUGGUAUCUAACUCAAGAUUAACCAAAAUUUCAAGAAUUAACAUAAACUUCUCACCUUAAUGUAGACCUAAGAUGACCGAAUGGCUUUUCUCCCCUCUUCCUCUUUACAUUCGGCCAAGAAGAACAAAGAUGAAGCUUUGUUUUCAUUACCCAUUUUCCUUAUUAUUAUUAUUAUUAUUAUUAUUAUUAUUAUUAUUAUUAUUAUUAUUAUUAUUAUUAUUCCUUUAUUUUAUAUAAAGCAUAAAACCAUUUAACUAAAAAUUAAUACAUAUUUUAAUAUGAAAUCAUCAUCAUAGCCGGCCACUAUUAACAAAAAGGGGUAUUUGACAUGCAAGUCCAAGUUUUUAUAACAUGCAUUAAUGGACCACUUUUAAAAUUACCUAUCACAUUUCACAAUUGUCUCACAUAAGUACUAUUAAAUAAAUUCACAUUCAAAUGGAUAAAUUAAAGAUUGGAACUUUCACACAUGCAUGUUCACGCACAAUAAGUAUAGAAAAUAAUGGUUAAUUAUUUUUAUGACUCGGUUUUGUGGUCCCGAACCCACUUUCCGACUAGGGUCAAUUUAGGGCUGUCACAGCUAGGCUGGUGGUAAAAGGAUUCAGUCAAAAAUAUGGACUGGAUUACUUUGAAACAUAUGCUCCUGUUGCCAGACUAGAUACAAUCAAGCUGAUUGUUGGGUUUGCAGCUCAGAUGAACUGGAACAUACAUCAACUUGAUGUAAAAUCAGCUUUUCUAAAUGGAAUCCUUGAAGAGGAGAUCUAUGUCGAGCAACCAAAGGGAUUUAAAGUACCAGGGAAGGAAGACUUGGUUCACAGACUAAGGAAUGCCUUAUAUGGCCUAAAACAAGCCCCCAGAGCAUGGUAUGCUCGAAUUGACUCUUAUCUGCUCAGUUUGAAGUUCGAAAGAAGUGCUAGUGAGCCAACAUUGUAUGUCAAGAAAAACAAAACUGAAACUCAGCUUAUGGUGUCAUUGUAUGUGGAUGACUUAUUGGUGACAAGAGGAGAUGAAGUUGAUUUGGCAGAAUUCAAGACAAAGAUUAUGCAAACGUUCAAAAUAACUGACCUGGGGCUGAUGACAUACUUCCUAGGAAUGGAAGUAAGCCAGAAACAAGGAAGAAUCUUCUUGAAUUAGAAGUCAUUUGCAUUGGAAGUGUUGACAAAGUUUUCAAUGCUUAAUUGUAAGCCAACUCCUACACCUAUUGUAGCUGGGUUAAAAUUAUCAAGCCAAGAGGGUCAUGAAGAAGGCUGUAAAACUACCUAUAGAAGCUUGAUUGGUUGUCUCUUAUACUUGACUGCAACGAGACCAGAGAUCAUGUAUGCAGUAAGUUUACUUUCUAGAUUCAUGCACUGCUGCAAUGUACAACAUUUUCAAGCUGCAAAACGAGUACUGAGAUACAUUAAAGGUACUCUAAGUUAUGGUCUCCUAUUUAGCAAGGCUAAGGAACUGAAAUUGAAAGGGUAUACAGAUAGUGAUUGGGCUGGUUCCAAUGACGACAUGAAAAGUACAUCGGGGUAUGCCUUCACAUUGGGGUCAGCAAUGGUCUGUUAGAGUUCGAAAAAGCAGUCUUUAGUGGCUCAAUCGAUAGCUGAGGCUGAAUAUGUAGCUGCUGCUAGUGCAGUAAAUCAAGCCAUUUGGCUAAGGAAAAUCUUAUCAGAUUUGAACCUUUAUCAAAAGGAAGCAACAGAGAUACUUUGUGACAACAAGUCUGCUGUUGCAAUUGCAAAGAACCUUGUCUUCCAUGGUAGAACUAAGCACUUUGACAUAAAGUUGCAUGUGAUAAGGGAAAUGGAGCAAGCUUGUGAAAUAAAGCUGGUUCAUUGCAAUUCGGAGGAUCAAACCGCUGACAUUUUGACCAAGGGUCUUUGUGCAUCGAAAUUUAACAAGCUAAGAAGACUUAUGGGUGUUUGCAGCAUGGAGCUCAAGGAGAAAUGUUGAAGCUGAUCUCCAUGCAGCUGGUAUGAAGAAUGUGCAGCUGGAAGUUGGCCAUGCAAGCUCGUGACAAGCAUGCAGCAACUUUGGUUUCUUGUUGCUGUUGGAUUUGAACUAAUGUUUUGUUAUUUUGUAAUCUAGUUUGUAUCUUCAACUUAUUUGGUAAUUUUUUCAUGUAAUCCAUUGAUUGAUUGACUGAAAUUUCAACAAUACAACUUGGACAAUUAACUUAGCUAUUUUCAAUGUAAUAGAGUGGGGUUAGGUAUGUGAUUUGGUAGUCUUUUUGACUUGUACACUUCAUCUUUAGUUUUUCAUAUGUAAUGGCAAUGUGCUGAUGAUGUAUUAUGUAAUUACACAUCUUUUUCAUCAAGUUUUCUCAACUAAUUCCAUCGCUUCUUCUUCUGUUUUCUUUUUUCUUCUUUUCUUUUUGCUCGAAUUCUUCUUGUUUGGUUAGCAAGAAUCGUGACUUGCUGCUAAAGCUAUAGCUAGACCAGUUGCUUGCAUGCUCAUUGACACCAACAGAGGGGUGGGCAAGACCACCUUGGCUCGUGAAGUUGGAUGUCAAGCUCCAAAACUGAAUUUGUUUGACAAAUUUGUGAUUACGACUGUGUCUCAAAAGCCAAAUCUUGAGAGAAUUCAAGAUCAAAUUGCACAAUACAUAGGCUUUGAUAUGAAGAAUGAACGAGGAAGAAGAUCCGAGCAAGAAUUAUGGUUAAGGCUGAAGAAUGAACCGAGGAUUCUUGUCAUCCUUGAUGGUACAACUUGACUGUUUGGAUGAUGAUGAAGCUUGGACUCUGUUUGAAAAAAAAGCAGGUCUAAAUGACUUUUCUGAUGAUUCUAUUAAAAUCCUAGCAAAUCAAAUUGUCACAAAAUGCGGGGGUUCGCCUAUAGCUAUAGUUCCGUUGGGAAGUGCCUUAAAAGGUAAAACCCAUCAUGAGUGGCAAGUUGCAAACCGGAGACUCAAAGAUCGUAGAUUGACUGAAAUUGAGGAUGUUAAUGAAGAAAAUGCCUAUGUAUGUCUUGAGGCUAGCUUCGACUACUUGAAGAAUAUGGAGACCAAGACAUGUUUCUUGUUGUGCUCUUUAUUUCCUGAAGAUGAUGAGAUUUAUGUGGAGAACUUGGUAGGAUAUGCAUGGGGACUGGAGUUGUACUCAAUUAAAGAUGUUAGAAGUGAAGUGCUUGCAUCAAUUGAGACCCUCAAGAGCUCAGGUUUGUUGCUAGAUUGCGGAGAAAGGCAUGUCAAAAUGCAUGAUGUGGUUUGCCAAUUUGCUUUGUGGAUAGCAUUUUCAAGAAAGGAGAUAUCUUUUGGGACUGUUGAAACACUCCUGAUGGAUGAAAGUUUCAAGCAUUACACAGCAAUCUCCUUCGAAACUGAUCAAACGGAUGAACUUCCUAAAGGAGUGGGUUUUCCAUACCUCAAACUUCUUUUAAUUGGCAGUUUCAUGGAAUGUUCAAGCAAAUUCUUUGAGGGUGUGAAAGCAUUACAAGUUUAUGCUUUGGAAGAUCAUAUCUCUAGAUGCGUUUAAGUUUAAUAUGAACAUUCGAAUUUUGUGUUUGAUUGAUUGUGAACUCUCUGACAUCUCAAUGCUUGGGAAGCUAAAGACACUUCAUAAUCUCUCUUUAAGUCAAUCUGAUAUCACUGAAUUGCCGACUGAAGCUGGUGAUUUGGAAAAUCUAAGGCUGUUGGAUUUAUCGCAUUGCUAUGAACUAUGAAGAAUCGCUCCUAAUUUAAUACGAAGAUUGUCCAAUUUAGAAGAACUAUACUUGCAUGGGUGUAGUUCAUUAAAAUGGGCGACUGAGAACACAACUCAAAGAGAAAGCUAUUCUAGCCUGUCAGAGUUGGAUUUAUUACCAAAGUUGGUUGUAAUAUCAUUGGAUAUUUCUUCUAAACAUCUUCCAGAUGGCUUUGUGUUUCAUAGAUUAUGGAGCUUUGAUUUUUACAUUGGCAUUGAAAGAGAAAUGUGGUACCAAAAGGGGGAAGCUUAUCCAAUCUCAAUAUCUUUGUGAAUCAAUAACUCUGUAGAUGCAUGCAAGCAACUAUUUGAAGAUGUAGAAUCUCUUCAAUUGAAUGAUGUGGAGGGUCACCCAAACCUUAUUCCGAGCUUGAACUUGAGAUUUAGUAAGUUGACUUUUCUAGAUCUUGAUUGGUGCGACUCUAUGCAAUGCCUAAUUGAUGCAUCAAAGAAACUGGUGCCAAUCACUGUAUUCUCUAAUUUGAGAAAGUUAUCAUUAAUUAAUAUGUUUGAUUUGGAAGAGAUGUGCAAUGUUCCCCAGCUGCAAGGUUUCUUACAAAAGCUUGAAGAGGUUAUAGUUUCAGAUUGUGAUAAGAUGCAAAUGUUAUUCCCAAUUGCUGAAUUGGAGAGCCUAGAACAAGAAGUGCCCAGCCGUCAUUUAAGCCUCCAAAGUCUGAAGAUCGUUGAAAUAGAGAGAUGCAAUAAUUUGAAAUAUAUCUUCCCAGUUGCUAAUAGCCCUGGGCAAUUGCAUGCUUUGAAGAUAAAGAGUUUUCGGAGCUUGGAAGGCAUAAUCCAAGACUCACAAGUGCCAUACAUAAGUAUUCAAAGUUUAAGGGAAAUUGAAGUUGAAAAAUACGAUAAUUUAAAGUGUCUCUUCCCAGUGUCUGUUGCUAAUAGCCUUGGGCAAUUGCAUACUUUGAUGAUAAAGAGUUGCCGGAGCUUGGAAGGCAUAAUCCAAGACUCACAAGUGCCAUACAUAAGCCUCUAAAGUUUAAGAGAAAUAGACACUACAUGAAAAUAGGGCUUUAGCGGCGUUUUAUCAAAAAACGCAGCAAAAAUUGUAAAACACAGAGCAAUAGCGGCGUUUUAGUAAAAAACGCCGCUAAAAACAGAGCAUUAACGGCGCUUUUGGUAAAACGCCGCUAAAGACCCGAGCAUUAGCGGGGCUUUUGGUAAAACAACGCUAAAGACCAGAGCAUUAGCGGCGCUUUUGGUAAAACGCCGCUAUAGACCAGAGCAUUAGCGGCGCUUUUGGUAAAACGCCGUUAAAAGUCAUAUAACCCCUAAACCCCAAAAAAAUCAUAAACACUAAUGUAUAACCCCUAAAAAAAUAUUUAUUAAAAUUUAUGGUUAUACAAUAUAUUAAAUAUUUUCUUAUAUAAUCGUAAAAGAGAUAGUAUUGAAUUUAAAAUAUUAAAUUAAUUAUCAUUAUAGUUUAAGGUUUAUGGUUUAAGAUAUAUGGGUUUAAGGUUUAUGAGUUAACUAUGGUUUAGGGUUUAAGGUUUAAGAGUUAACUAGUAUUUGAAGGUUUAUGAUGAAUUAUGAGUUUAGGGAUUAUGAUUUAAGGUUUAAGGGUUAGGGUUGGAGUUUAAGGUGUAAGGGUUUAGGGUUAAGGGUUUAGUGUUUAUGGGAUAUGGGUUAAGAGGUUUAGGGUUUAGAUUAAUUAGUAUUUUUUAAUUUAUAUAUUAAACGAUUUCUUAUAUAAUUGUAAAAGAGAUAAUAUUAAUUUGAAUAUAUUAAAUUUAUGAUUAUAGUUUAAAUUAUUUAAGAGAUAAUAGUAGGGUUUAGGGGUUAAGGUUUAGGGAUAAAUAUAGUGAACUACUUAACUUGUGUAUCUUGGAUUUUUUUAUAAUAUAAAUCUAAAUAAGAUAAAUAUAAAUUAUUAUUUUAAAAAUAUAUAUAUCAAAAUGGGUUAAAUCCCAAAAGCAUAAAUUAUGAACACAAUUAUUGAUAUAACAUCAUUUUAUAUUUAUAUAUUGCAUACAUAAAUAUUUAUAUUUAUUCAAUAUAAAAAUAUAUUGAUGUAUUUAUUUUUUAAAACGUGUAUGAUUAAAUUAAAAUUAAAGUUUCAACUAUACAUUUAAACCACAAUUAGAAUUUCACGUCUAAAAUUACACAUUAAAUUGAAAUUCAUAUAUAAUUAUGAGAUGUAUCUCUAUCAAAAUUUAGGUGUAUACAUAUAAUUAAAUAUAAUUUAAAUUAUUUAAGAGAUAAUGAUAAAGUUUAUAUAUAUUAAAACAAAAUAAAAGAUUUUUAAUAUAGCAAAAAGGUGGGAAAAUGGCUUUUUGUGGCAAAAUAAGCAACAGUGGCGUUUUUUAUAAAAAAACGCCGCAAAAUUUUUUGCCGCAAAAUUUUUUACAAGAAACGGUAUCUGUUACCCCAAAAUGCAUUAGACUUUUUUGUUCCCCCUUCCCCAAAAUCCCAAAAUUUGACAAGAAAUCUUUCUUUUUUCCCUCCUUUCUUUUCCCAAAAUCGGUUCCCUCCCCCUCCCAAAGAAAUCCUAAAAUUUCACUUGAAAUUUCUUCUCUUUUUUUCCCCAUUUUAUUUUUCCCAAACCAUUUCUCCCCUACCCCGAUUCCCUUUAUUUUUUCCCCCAAUUUCCCCAAAUCGGCAGGCCUCUGCAUCUCCGUCGGUAGCCCGCUGCUGUAUCUCUGUCGACAUCUGCUGUCAAGUAUAUUGAAAGGGGACCUAAGGUAUGUACUAGGAUUUUCUUUUCUUUUCUUUUUGCUUUCAUUUCAUAUUUACAGUUCUGAUUUCUUCGGUUAAUGUUCUUGAUAUUGUAUCUGUUUGCAUUUUCUUUUUAUUCAUAGGCUAAAUUGGGCUCCUUUUUUCUUGUUUAGACUCAAUGGAUUGAUUUCAAGGGUUUCUUUAACUAGUAAACUCCCCUCUCUCUCUUUGUUUACUAUCACUGUUUUUACUUGUAAUUUUCAUAUUAAUAACUAUCUCUUCAAAUGGGUUUUCUUUUCAAUUUAUAUGCCAUCGGGGAUAGACCUCUUUAGUCUUCGAAAACACUUUCCCUGAUCGUUAAUUUUACUGCAGUUGCCCAAUACCUUGAUAUCCAUGGCGAGAAAGGCAUCUUCUUUUAAAAAGAAAAAGAAAAAUAGCUUAAUUUCUUCUAUAAAAGGGUCAUAGGUUACUACUGAAAGGGGAAGAGGGCUAAACAAGGGUGCAAGAAGGAAAAGUUUUUUCUCUAAAAAGGUACUCUUGUUCUCUUUGCUUAAAUGGAAAAGAACUGAGGAGGAUAUUCUUCUUCUUUGAAAUUUAACUUUAAAUUUAUUAGGAUUUAUGUAGUUUGUUGCAGAUCUGCUAUAGUUUCAAAUUGAACAUCUGGUUUCUAAUUUAGAUCUUAUUAUCUUUUUUAUGUUUAGUUUUUUUUCUCUAAUUUAUCAUUUAUCAUUUUUUCUCUUAAAUUCUCAGAGUAUACCGUCUGCAAAACAUGGAGGGUAAUGGCAAUGAACAACCAAAAUGUCAAAGAAGUUUUGAUCAUCGUGGGAGGAAGAAUGUAAUUUGUUUUUGAAAAAGUUUCCUCUUUUCUCAUAAUUGACUACUGAACACUUUACCUCUUUUUUUGUCCUCCAUAUGCAGAAUUGCUGGGAGUUAGUUAUCCAGAUUUUAUGUAUGAUACUGGAUGAUAAUACUAUUCCGAAUAUAGUAACGUUUUCUCUUCGCUUUAUAGUUUUUCUUUUAAAUUCUUUAUUAUUAUAAUUCGUUUUCGAUAAAAUUUCAAGUAAAUAUUCCCUUCUAAAUUUAUUAUGCAGCGGUCUUGGGACAAAAAAAAAGAAGAGAAAUUAGAAGAGGCCUUGACGCAGCUGGAAGAUAUUAUGAUGAAAAAUGACUUGCUAGAGGUUGAAUCAUUUCUAAAACUGUAAAAAAAUUCAACUCAGAACGAAGAGUACUUAGUUCUUUAUUUAUUUGGGUUUGGGAUAUGAAUUGUGAGUUUUUGGUUUGUUCUUCACAAGGAUCUAUUUUAAGCUUUUGGGUUUUGUUUUUGAGUGUUUAGAGAAAGAGAAAUGGCUGGAAGUAAUGAAAUCAACCUCAACGAGUGCAAGGUACAAUAUUUUCUCCUUUUUUUUUUUCCAUUUACUCAUUGUUUAUAUUCUUUCUAGAAUUGGGUUGUCAAAGUUGAGUUCUAUAAUGAAUUCUUCAUAUAUUUGUUGUCCUCUCUUUUGCUUUUUGAUCUAACAAUAAUUAAUGCAGUCAUCUGUUUUGACAAUUAAUUUAUUAUGUUCUUCAUCAUAUAUAUGUUGUUGUGUUUAAGAUGCUAAUAAAAUCAAGGGAAAUUUCACAAAGGAGUUAUUUAAGUUAGAUGCAAGCUUAUUUCUUGAUAUGUGAAGGAAUAUAUUAUGUGGCCUAGUUAUGUAUAAAGAUUCAAUUAUAAAGAGUAUUUAGACUAUUUAUUUGAAUCUGUCUAAUUGUAUUAUUGAACUGUCUUAGUGAAUUAUGUGGUUUACUUGGUCUUUGUAGUCAAGAGGCUCAACUAGAGAUGGUACCGGAGUUCAUGACAGCAUUGUGAACCAGCUGCUUACCAAUGUCAGUAACUAGACCCAGGGACAGCUUCUUAGUCUUAAAAAUCAUUACUCUUUGUCUUGUGUCAUUUUCUUGGUUCUUGUGGUAACCAUGUCUUAUUAAUAUGACACUUUUAACUAAAGGAAUAAUUUGCUUUUCAGAUAGAUGGAGUGGAGUCUCUAAAUAAUGUUUUGCUUAGUGGAAUGACCAACAGAAAUGAUCUGCUUGAUGAAGCCCUUUUGAGGUUACUCCCUCCGUCCUCCAUCCCUCCUUUCUCUCUCCCCCCCACACACAUGCAAAAAGCAAGCUAUCUGUCUAGCUCUUUGUCACAUUGGAUCUUCCUCUAUAUAAGAAGCUUGAUUAACAACCAAAGACUAGAAACAAAAUAUUGAUGCAUUUUAUAGUUACAACAAACUGUUAGUUAUUAUGGAGAAUUUGAUGGCCUAUGAAUAAGGUUUAUACUUAUGAUCUGGAGUAAGCAUGCUGCAUUGUAAGCUAAGUAAUUUUUUAUGUGCAUAAUUUUGUGUGCUUUGCGAACUUUUUGGUUUGUGAUGGUUGAUGCAGUUACAUUAUGAACUGUCUUGUCUCUUGAUCUCAGCUAAAUCUUUGAAUACUUUUCUUCUGUAGGCCAGGACGUUUGGAGGUUCAAGUUGAGAUAAGUCUUCCUGACGAAAAUGGUCGUUUGCAGAUUCUUCAGAUUCAUACAAACAAGAUGAAAGAGAAUUCUUUUCUUGCUCCUGAUGUUAACCUUCAAGAGCUUGGUAUGUUUGUUAGUAAUUUAUGGUUGUGGGAUUUACAUUCUUUUCUUGUAUGGGAGAAUCAUCUGUUAGAAUGUCAAAAAGUGGGUUCAUUUUUAGAUAGUUUUGAUUCUUUGGCAUUUUCUUCCAUUUUUGUUACUUUGAAUUUGGUAUGAGCUUUUUGUUUUUCUUUCUUUCCAUAAAUGUAAAUGUGCUUAAAAUUUAUCUAAAAAUUCUCAUCGACAGAAAUUUUCAUAAAUUGUAUUAUCUGUUGCUGGUAGAUUGCCCAUUUAUUUAAACAUAAUAUUUAAAUUCUAAAUUUAAAUUCAUCAAUUUUUAUAUUUAGUUUUAAAGUUAAAAUUUUAAUAGAAAAUUUAAUUUAAUUAAUUUUUUUAUUUAUUUUAAGAGUAUAUAGUUUAAAGUUUCAAAAAUAAAAUAUAAUAUAGAAAAUAAAUAUUAUUUAAUAAAAAUAUAUUUUUUUAAAGCUUAUAUUCUUUAGUGGCGUUUGUGAGAAAAGCGCUGCUAAAGGUUUGUUCCGUAGCGGCGUUUGUAAAAAAGCGCCGCUGAAGGUCAUGGUCUUUAGUGGCGUUUGUGAAAAAAGUGCCGCUAAAGGUCAUGGUCUUUAGUGGCGUUUUUUUAAAUAAACGCCGCAAAAUUUUGCGGCGCCGUCUAUAGUGGCGUUUUUUGCGGCGCUUGUGAAAACGUCGCUAAAGGAAAAAAAACGCCGCUAAAAGUCUAUUUUCCUGUAGUGAGAAGUUGAAAAAUGCAAUAAUUUAAAAUACCUCUUCCCACUUUUUUUUGCUAAUAGCCUUGGGCAAAUGCAUACUUUGAAGAUAAAGAGUUGCUAGAGCUUGGAAGGCAUAAUUCAAGACUCACAAGUGCCAUACCUCCAAAUUUUAAGGGAAAUAAAAGUUGAAAAAUGCGAUAAUUUGAAGUAUCUCUUCCCACUGUCUAUUGCUAAUACCCUUGCGCAAUUACAUACUUUGAAGAUAAAGAGUUGCUCGCAAUUGGAAGAUAUAAUCCAAGAUCCACAAGUGGCAUACAUAUGUCUACUCCAAAGUCUAAGGGAAGUAUGUGUAUCUCAUUGCAAGAACUUGACAUCUGUUUUCCUUAUUGUCCUAUGGUUAAAGAUUGAGAAAUUUGAUUAUGCUUUUCAUUUCAAGUUUCGUUGAUUGGUUUGCCUCGAAGGGGUUUGAAUGACAUUAUACUCACACAAUCGUCUUUGCAAAAGUUAAAAGUGUACAAUUGUUCUCAAUUGACACAUUUUAUUAUUUCGACUAAGAUACAAAUAAGAUUUUUCUUUUUGUUUUAUAUUAUUUAUUUAUAUAUUUGUUUCUCUUUUUUUUUUAAUAAUUCGUUGUUUGAAUAGUUAUUUAAAAUAAAUUUUAUUCUAUAAUUUAUUGAAAUCUUCACCUUUUCAUAAUUUGUUGUCCAAAAUAAGUAAAUGUUUGUAUAACACUUUAAAAGAUAGUUUUCAUUUUAGAAUUUUAGUUUAAAAACUAAUCUAAAUAAACCUUUUAAGUAGUUUAGUUAAUUACAAUACCAAUUAGUAACAUAAAUAAAAUUUCAUUGAAUAAAUGGUUAAGACAUUUUAUUCUUAUGUUGCAAACUCUAUCUAGUAUGACAUAAUAUUAUUUAUGUUGUGUUUUUGCACCAUUAUUUUGGUGAUUUUUCAUUUUUUCAAAAAAAAAAUUGAAUUCUUUUGACUAUAAAAGAUUGAAAAAGAAAUCUUGGUUAAUGUUCAAACUGUAAGAAUCUAAUAAGUAAAAUAAAUUAAACCUUAAUUCUUUAAAAAAAAAGUUAAAAUAGGAGUUACAUAAGAAAAUGAAUUAAUAAAAUGAUAGGUGAGAUGUUAAUCGCUUUGAAUACUUUGAAAUUGAUGAUUGAUGAUAUGUUUAUAGGUAUUGGAGUUGUCGGAGAUGACAGAAAAGUUAGUCCCUGAAAUGAGAGGAGAAACAUCAACAAUUUCCAAUUUUGAAGAGUUAUUUGAUUUUAGAUAUAAUCUUUCAAGUCUGAAGACCCUAAACUUGUCCGAACUAACUGAAUAGCGGGUGAUAUGGAGUGCUCCCAUCCAAGUUGAUUACUUUGAAAAUCUCUAUCAAUUGACAGUCCAAGAUUACAGAAGGUUAAGAUACAUCUUCUCACCUACCAUCGUUCGAAAUUUGCCACAAUUGUCCAGGUUGGGUAUAUUUAACUGUGAGGAAUUGGAGCAAAUAAUUGAUAAGGAUCAAACUCCGUCACAACAUCAUCUCCAACCUAUUUGCUUCCCUAAUUUGAAGCAGAUUACAAUCAAGAGGUGUGAAAACUUGAAAUGUUUGUUCCCAAUUACUCUCGCUGAUGGCUGCCUUCAAAAACUAGCUAGAACUAACGCUUAGCGGGGUCUCCAAAUUAGAGCAGGUGUUUGAAGGAGAUGAGGGAAAUGUGAGUAAGGACGAAGAGAAAGUGAUACACCUACCUCAGCUCGGCUUCUUGGAGCUUGAUGGGAUACCAAACCCCGUGAGCUUCAGCCCUGUGGGUUAUCAUUUUAUUUUCCAAUCUUUGUGCAGUUUGGAAGUCACAUAUUGUCCCAACAUAACCACAAGAUUUAGUGUUGAUUCAGAGAAAUCAGUGCAUGCCAGAACACAGGUACACUACUCUUCCAAACUCAAUAAUAAGCUUUAAAACAGAAAUUCAUCCAUCGAAUUAUUUUCUCUAUGCAUUCUCUCAAACUCUUUAUUUACUAAGCUUUAAUUUCUAUGCAUUAAAACAAUAUUUUUAUUUUGGUUGUCUGAGAGAAAUUCUUUUCUUAUGCUUUAAAUGACUGUAAAUGGUUUCUGUUGGCUGUCAAUAUUUCUUUAUAGAUAUCCUUGUUGCAUUAUUAUUUUCAUUUCACAGUUCUUGGUCUUAAUAUGUCAUCCUUUGUCCAAUUUUGGAAAAUUGUCUUUUCUUUCUUCACCACCAAUCAUCAGAAGCAAACCGUAAUAAGUCAAGGUUUACAUUGUGUUGCAGGCAAGCCAAUCAGUUGAUGAAGUUAAUGGAGAAACUACAUUUCCAAUUGGUCGUGAUAUAGAUUGGUAUAAAAAUUUCAAUUGAAUGCCAUUUCUUUAUUAAAAGGAGUACAGAAGUGGUAGCCAUAUAGACUAGCAUAAGCAUUCAAUUGAAUCCCAUUUCUUUCUUACGAGAUUAAUUUCAAUGAUUAAUAUAUUAAAAAACCCUUAAACAUGUCCUUAAAUUUUUUAUUUGCCUUCAUCCUCAUGAGUUGCAGUUUUCUCACCUUCGUCUUUCUCUCACCCAACACUGCCGAGAACAACUUCUCAUCUUCCAUCCUAUGCUGAUGACUAAAAUUUGAAUCCUCUUCAGAAUCCAGCGGCUCUUCGACUAAGUCUAGCAUUACAGAACGUAAAUAUAAAUAUUUUGUUUCUUUACAAGUCCUUCCAAAAGAUAACAAAGUCCUCGCCGAUUUUCUUAGCGAAUAUGGACUCUUCCCAGCUUUAGAAGAAAGGAAGGCUUGGUUAAUGACAAUUUCAACCUUCAGUCUAGCUUUCCUUUAGUACUCUUGGGUUCUUCUAAGCUACCUUCAAGUUUCAAAUAAAUGUGAAUUAAUCCAUAUGUUUUAAAACAAAGGGUAAAUUCCACUACUAGUCCCUCAAUUAUAUCUCAUUUAAUAAAAAAAGUUAUAAUUUGAUGAUUAACAUUUUUAAAAUUAUUUUUUGUCGCCGACCAAUAAAUGACUAAAAGUUACACUUUUUUAGUUUCUCCAUUUUUGUUCCCUAGGUCUUGUGGAAACAACUGAAGGUUUUGUGAUGCGUUACAUGCUGUUGAAAAACAUCUUUCAAAACUAAUUUCAUUUAGACUUGUGAAAUUAACUUUGAUGUCAUUCUUUUAGUAAAAAAAAUACAAAAUAUACAAAAAAAAAUUCUUUUUCAAGUUCCAUAAAAAAAAUUAUUUUUUGUUGACUUGAAACAGUUGCCAAGCAACAAGCAAAGUAUGAGCAUAAGUGGCUACGGAAGUGGUACUUCUGCAAGCGUUGUGAUUAGCAAAAAGAAAAUAUGAAACAAUUACAACAGUGAACCUAAAUAUAUCACACUCCAAUGAUGAUUCCUUACUCUUGUACCUUCAAAGAUUAGAUCACUCACCACAAAGUUCUCCAAGCCACUAAAUUCUCCCUUGGAGAACUUUGUUUGUAAAAUCAUAAUGCAAAAGUUUACAAUCACAAAUGCACUUUCAUAAAUAAUGUUCCUCACAUAUAAAUGGUCUUAAUAAUUAGUGCAUCAACCUAUAAUUUUAUAUUUUACAUUAUUUUUGCAUAUAUUAAAAAUAUUAUGUUAAAUUCAGAUUCAUUACAAUCUCAUUUUUUAAUUACAUGACUACUAAGUGAGUAUUUUUUAUUUAAAAAUGUGACAUUAAUAAAAUUGACAAAAAAAAAUUAACGAUGUCAACAAUUAUACUUGAUUUUCAAAUUUGAAAAGUAAACGGAUUAAAUUCUUGAAAAUAAAAGUAUAAACACUAAAUUACAAAUAUAUGAAGUGUACAUAAACUUAUGACAUAUUUUAACCAUUAUACUACAAAAUAUUUAUUAUUAAUAUAUUUAUAAUUGUAAUAAAUAUUUAUUAUUAAAAUAUUAAUAUAGAAUAUUUUCAAUUAUAUGUAAAUAAUAUUAUUUAAAAUUAUUAUUCUUAAAAUUUAUUAUUAAAAUAAAAUUAAAAUAUUAAAUAAUUUAUUAAAAUAAUAAAUUAUAUUUAUUAUAUCACUAAAUAUAAAUACUUAAAUAUGUAUUUUAAUAAUAUUAAAAAUAUAAUAUUUUAAAUAUUUUUAAAAAUAAAAAUAAAAAUUAUUAUUAAUAUAAUAAUAUUAAACUUAAUUUAAAAUAAUUUUUAUAUAAAAAUAAAAUUAUCCAUAAAUAAACUCUUUCGUAAUUCGUCCUCAUCAUUUCAUGUCAUGUGACUGUUAAUUCCCAAACAAAUGCACAGGUCAUUGGCAAACCAACCAGAACCAACUUGCAGCAAAGGAAGAUUCCCCUUUCCUUUUCAAUCCACUAAAAUACAGAAACAAAAACAAAUACUCAGAUUUAGAUCCAAUAUUGUAACAAUCUCAUAAUUAAGGCACCAAAUCCACUCACGCAAUUACUGAAACUUCAAGGAAAAUGUGAGAGCAUCGAUUUAUUAUUUUUUUAAUGACUUAAUUGCAAUAUAAUUAAUCCAUAAACUUUAAAUUAUUUUAAUUAUAUAUCCAAAUUAAUCGGGUUAUAUCAAUUAAGUUUUUUUAUUACUAAAAUUAUUAAUUUAAUGGAAAAUUAUCUCCCGAGACUCUCUCUCAAUUUUAAAAUUGAGCAAACUAGUCACUCUCAAAAAAAUUAAAGCAAUUUAAACACUAUUAAAUUUGAAAGUAAGCAAUUGAAGACAAUUAAUCACAAAUUAAAUUACUUUGAUUUUUUUAAAAGGGACUACAGAGGUCGUUUUAGCCAGUUUAAUUGUUAAAUUACAUGUUAGAUCUUAUGUGACAUGAUUUAAAAUAAUUUUUUUAAAAAUAAAUAUUGUAAAAAAUAGAUGUUUUAUAAAUAUUAAUUUUGAGAUUUUCGAAGUUUUUACAUUGUUUACCUUUUUUUUUUAAUUUUACUUAAAAUUGUUUUUAUUUUUAAAAAUCAUGCAACAUCAUUCUAUUUAUUUAAAAUUUUUAUUUUAAAUUUCGUUACAUAAUAUUUAAUGUGUCAUUUAAUGAUUUUAAUAUAUGAUUAAUAGUUUGGAUGUAAUUAAAACAGUUUGAAAUGUAGGGACCAAUUUAAAUCCCACUUCAAUAAUUUUUUUUUUUUGACAAACACUUCAAUAAUAUUAGUUUGUGGUAAGUGGGGCCAUUUUUUCAAAUAGGAAAAAAAAAAGCACGGGGUGACUGGUAAACCAAUCAGCACCAACUUGUUGCAAAGGAAGAUUCCCCUUUCCGUUCCAAUCCUCUAAAAUACAAUUAGAAAAACAAAUCCUCAUAAUUUAGAUCUAAGACUGCAGUAAUCUCAUAACACAAAUCCUUUGGCUACUAAACCAAGAAAAUCCAGUUGUGUUUCCGAGUGGUUGAAUCUUCCAGGCAGAUAAACUUCCAUUUCUUUCUGAAAGUUGUGUUUCCAUUUCUUUCCGAGUGGUUCAACCUUGAUUUCUACUUUGUUCUUUUUUCUUUUUAUUUCGCUUUCUUCAACUUCCUUUCUUUUUGUAGUCAGUUUUACUUACUUUUGCUCAAAAAAGAAAAAAAAAAAACCCAGCCUUCAAAUCCCUUUUGAUUGAUUUGAAGUAGUAAGAAUCUUCUCAACACAAAGUGUAUAGUUUGAUUUUGAGGUAAAUCUAUUUAUAUUUGUAUUUAUAUAUAUAUAUAUAUAAAUUAAAUUUGUUAUAUAUUUUUUUUGAUCUCAUCUCAUCUCAUCUUUUUAUGUUCUUCUUGAAGCAAAUUAGAGGUAAAGGAGUGUUUGGAUUGACGAUCAAAUUCUUGGAGUUACAACUUCAUUUUGAAGUGGUAAGUGGAUAUGUUUCCAUCAUUCUUAUAACUAAUUAUAUGCCUUUUUUAUUUAUAAUUACAUCACAUUACACACAUGUAUAUGAUUUUAUUUAGGGAUGAAGGUUGGAUCAAAUUGAGUCGAAAAUUUUUAAAUUAAUCGAGUUGAUGAGUCUCAUUUUAUCAUCCUCGAAUCGAGUAAAAUUAUUAGAGUUAAAUUAAAAAAAUUAAGCAUAUCAAAUUAAAAUAUUGUUACCGUAUGACUAAUUACAUGUUAAACCAAUUAAAUUUAAAACUAUAUAUAUUUGAAAUUUUUUUAAAAUGAAAUAAAUAAAACUUCAAUCAUUAAUUAAUUUAUUUAGGUUACAAAAUUAUUAUUUUAGAAAAUUUUUUAAAAUUAUUAAAAAAUUAGAAAUUUUAUAAAUAUUUUAAAAUUUUGAAAAUUAUUUUAUUUUUAUUUUUUGUAAUUUUUUUCAAAGAAACCAAUAUGUUCAUUUUCAAAAUUGAUAGGGAUUAAAGAUGUAUUUACGCCAAUCUAUUAUUCGAAUUGUAAAAUUUAAAUCGAUUCAAUUAAUUUAAAAUUUAAUUUUUUCAAAUCGAAUCGAGUUUUACCCACUCUUAAUUUUAUAAAUUUAAAUGAAUUGACAAAAAUAAAACAAAGAAAAUGAAAUAAAAGCUAUAAAGUUCAUUUCAUUAAAUAAAAUAGAGAAACCAAUUCUAUAUGUUCUAUAUCUGCUAGAUUUUAUCACAAACGGAAAUAUUUUAUAUUAAAAAUAUAUUUAUAAAUAUGUCAACUGGUUUUGUGAUUGAUUCUUAAAUAUUAAAUAAAAGUAUGAAAAGAUAAAAAUACCCUUAUAUUAAUAUUAAAAUAAUAUUAAUUAUUUUUUAAAGUAAAAGUAUUUUAAUUCUUUUACGAUCGAGUUAGUGUUUAAUUGACUUGUGACACUAACUUAAUCAAACACUUUAUAUAUAAUUAUUUUACAUCUAGUUUUCAAGUCAUGAUUUUUUUUAUUAAGUUUCUAAUAAUAUUCGCAUUUUGCGUUAUGUUUUCAGCUGGACUAAGCUGGAAGAAUAGCCCAUUGAUUCUCAGACUUCGAAUCCUUCUUCAAUUUGAGCUUGUCAAGCAUGGGUUGCGGAUUUUGUGAGGCUGCUCUUUCUAACACAGUUGGAACACUGGUUGUGGACUGUGUGGUGAAGCCGGUAGGACGUCAACUUGAUUUUGUCCGUCGCUUUCAAGACAAUGUUGAAAAGCUCCUAAAGAAAAAGCGUGAACUUGCAGAUGCACGAAAGCGUCUACAACAUGAGAUUGAGGAAGCUAAAAACCGGCUUCUACUAAUUGAAGAUGAUGUACAUAACUUACAAUCAAGGGCAGACGAAACACUGUCGGAUAUGGGAACUCUGGAGGAGGAAAUCCAACUGAAUAAGAGGUGUCUCAAUUGGUGUCCUAAUUGGAGUUGGAGAUAUCAAUUAAGCAAGAAAGCAAUGAAGAAAAUCCAGGAUAUCUCUGAGCUUUUGGAAAAAUUUGGUGAACUUGGACCAGUCGGUUACCGUGAUCUUACUGCCCUUCCCACUAUAGACUUCCUAUGUUCUAAGGAAUUUGUGGUUUCGGAAUCUUCGAAGGCUGCUUUCAAUCAAAUCAUUGAAGCCUUAAAAGAUGAGAAUAUCAACAUGAUUGGGUUGUGGGGGAUGGGAGGGGUGGGCAAGACCACCCUGGCUCAUGAAGUUGGAAGUCAAGCUCCAAAACUGAAUUUGUUUGACAAAGUUGUGAUUACGACUGUGUCUCAAAAGCCAAAUUUUGAGAGAAUUCAAGAUCAAAUUGCACAAUACAUAGGCUUUGAUAUGAAGAAGGAACAAGGAAGAAGAUCUGAGCAACAAUUAUGGUUAAGGCUAAAGGAUGAACCGAGGAUUCUUAUCAUCGUUGAUGAUAUUUGGGAAUCUAUCAACUUAAAGGAGAAGAUAGGAAUUCCAAUUGGGGAUGAUCAUAAAGGCUGCAAAGUUCUUUUAACAACACGCCGUCAACAAGUAUGUCGAGCUAUGGAUUGUCAAAACGUGGUACAACUUGGCUGUUUGGAUGAUGAUGAAGCUUGGACUCUGUUUGAAAAGAAAGCAGGUCUAGAUGACUUUUCUGAUGAUUCUAUUAGAACCCCAGCAAAGAAAAUUGUCAAAAAGUGUGGGGGUUUGCCUAUAGCUAUAGUUCCGCUGGCAAGUGCCUUGAAAGGUAAAACCCAUCAUGAGUGGCAAGCUGCAUACCGGAGACUCAAAGAUCGUAGAUUGACUGAAAUCGAGGAUGUUGAAGAAAAUGCCUAUGUAUGUCUUGAG
RNAcentral lists this long non-coding RNA (43249 nucleotides) under Gossypium barbadense (sea-island cotton). RNAcentral describes it as "long non-coding RNA (GBAR_LNC002937)". The record is from RNAcentral. Lineage: Eukaryota; Viridiplantae; Streptophyta; Magnoliopsida; Malvales; Malvaceae.